GGUAGAGUGGCUGAAAUGAAAGUGUGGGGCUGUAAACCCCAACAUGGAGCGAGUCUCCCUCUGCCAAUGA
This 70-nucleotide transfer RNA is filed under the name Acanthodactylus boskianus (Bosk's fringe-fingered lizard). Its description in RNAcentral is "tRNA-Tyr". It matches the Rfam family "tRNA". From Rfam's summary of the family: Transfer RNA (tRNA) molecules are approximately 80 nucleotides in length. Their secondary structure includes four short double-helical elements and three loops (D, anti-codon, and T loops). Lineage: Eukaryota; Metazoa; Chordata; Lepidosauria; Squamata; Lacertidae. The record is from RNAcentral.